AUAGCCUCUACCUUCUGGACCUUCUCCUUCCCAGUUCCCAACCUUCGUCGCUCUUCGCACCCUUUCUCAACUCAGUUAGUCUUCAUCUUCUUCCUUCCAGCGAUUUGCAACCCGUCUCAUUCUCUGUCAGUCAGUCUCACAUCUUGCAGAUUUGUAAGUGUCACCAUCUCACUCUCAGUCUCUCACCCCCGUGACCAGUGACUCGCGACUUCCUCUCGCCGUUUCGAGUCUCGACCCACAACUUCCUUUGCAAGAUGAAGUCAAAUGCAUCACAGACCUCGAGCUCAAGCUCCAACUCAAUGAGAUUAGAAUCAUCAAAUAGCUCAUGUAAAAAACUAAACUCAUCUACUUAUACUCCAUCGCAAAAGGACAUUGUUGGUGAAUUAACUCCACCUUAACUCUCCAUGGUGGCACCUUAACUAACUCCUCUUACUCAUGGUGGAUCCAAAAAUUCCCCCAAUGCAACUCCAAAAGAAGGUGGCUCAAGUGAUCAAGUAAGUAAAGAAGACACUCUCUUGGAUUCACUAAAAAAUCAUGAAAGGUCUACAAUUUGGGAUCACUUUGAUAGGAUAGUUGAGGGAGAUAGAGUAAAGGGGGUGUGCAAGUAUUGCAACAAACUGUUUAUGGCCGACACGGAUAAAAAUGGAACAACUAGUAUAAGAAAUCACUUAGCAAGAUGUAGAAGCUAUGGUCCUAAUAAGGAAAUAUUUUCCGCAAAUAGGCAAGGGAUCUUAACCUUUGCCGGCACAAAAAAUAAGUUGGAAGCUAUAGGUUUUUCUCAAGUGGAAGUUACUAAGGCUUGUGUUGAGAUGAUAAUUAUAGACGAGUUACCUUUUUCUUUCGUUGAGGGAGAUGGUUUUCGUCAUUUUUGCAUGCAUGCAUGCCCUUUGUGGAGAGUACCUAGUUGUAAGACAAUGGCUAAAGAUGUACUUGACUGGUUUUACACCGAAAAUGAGAAAUUGAAAAGUCAGUUGAAGACAUUUAGGGUGUGUCUAACAACGAAUACAUGGACUUCUAUUCAACAAACAAAUUACAUAGUUCUCACCGCUUAUUUUAUUAAUGAUGAUUGGAUGUUCCAUAAAAAGAUUUUGAACUUUUGUGUCAUUCCAAAUCAUAAAGGAGAAUCCAUUGCUCAACUUUGGAGGAGUGUUUGGUGGAGUGGGGCAUAGAAAAGGUGUUAACUAUUACAGUUGACAAUGUUUCCGCAAAUGAUUCUGGCUUAAAGGAUUUGGUGCACCAAAUAAGUGGGUGUAGGAUUCCUAAUGCACUUUUACAUGAUGAAAAAUAUUUGCACAUAAGGUUUGUUACUCAUAUCCUUAAUUUGGUUGUGAAUGAUGGGAUAAAGAUGUUGAAUAAGGUUUGUUGCUCAUAUCCUUAAUUUGGUUGUGAAUGAUGGGAUAAAGAUGUUGAAUACCACUAUACAAAGCAUUAGUAAUGCGGUUAGAUGUGUAAGAUCUUUCCCUCAAAGGUUGGAGAACUUUAAAAGGUGUGUUGAGAAAGUGAGAAUAGAUAACAAAGGGCUUGUGAUUUUGGAUGUCCCUACUAGGUGGAAUUCCACAUUUUUAAUGUUGGAAUCGGCUUUGAAGUUCAAGAUGACUUUUGAUAGGUUAAAAGUAGAUAAUGGUCAUUAACAUAAGGGAUGGGCCACCUUCGACGAAUGAUUGGAGUGAGGCAUGAAUAUUUGCAUCCUUUUUUAGACCUUUUUAUAAAGUCACUUUAAAAGUAUGUUGUUUUAAUACUCCAACAAUUCAUACUACUUUUGGUGAUUUGUUUAAGAUCAAAAGUCUCCUCCAUGAAAACAAAGAUAGUGAAUUUUUGUCUAUAAUCUCCAUGUUGAUGCAAGAAAAAUAUGACAAAUAUUGGGGUUCAAUUGAGGAUAUGAAUCAAUAUGUUGUUGUUGCACUUGUGCUUGAUCCUCGCCAUAAAUUGGAGAAUGUGGUUGAUUAUUAUGAGAUACUAUUUGGUGAGGACAAGGAAAAAGUUGAAAUUACCACCAAUGCGGUGAAAGAUUUGUUAUUUACAAGAUUCAUGAAGAGUUGUUUUUUGAUACACAACAAAGCACAAGUAGUGGUGGUAGUUCUCAAUCAGCAACUACAAGUGGAGAUUCUUUAUCAAGCAUGACCGAAAUAGAAAGAAAGUUGAAAGAGAAAAGUGACAUGAAAGAGGCAAAGAGAGCCAGUGUUGUGCACAUGAUGUGGAUAGAUAUAUUUUUUAUUCUAAUGAAGGGGAAGAAGAUGAAUAUAUUGAAUUGGUGGAGGGUGAAUGGGGUUUCUAAGUAUCCUAUUUUGGCACGUGUUGCAAAAGAGAUUUUAGCUAUUCCCGUAUCAACCAUUGCUUGGGAAUCCUCAUUUAGCACAAGUGGAUGAAUAAUUGAUCGAUAUCGUAGUUCUUUGAGUCCAAAAAUGGUGGAGGUUUUGAUAUGUACACAAAAUUGGCGUAUGUCUAUCCAUGUUGCAUUACAUCAUGAGCCAACCAUUGUGGAGAUUGAGUUUUGUGAAGAAGUUGAGAAAGAAAUGGCAAGUGGAAGUUCAAGGAAAUGUGCUAUGUUUCCUCCUAGGCCGCCUAAGCAUUGAGCUUGAGGACUUGAAGAAAAGAAGUGUGUGCAAGACAUGAAACCUUGAAGGUUUAUUUGACUUUAUGAUUUUAGUUAAGUGGAAUAUUUCUUUACAGUUUGGACUUCGUUAUGUUUAUUUUAGGUGUGGAAGACUUGAAGUGUGAUGUUUAUUUUAAAUUUGGAUUUUUUGAAAGCUUAAACUUUGAUGUUUAUUUUAAGUUGGGACUUUGGAAGACUUGAUUGAUGAUUCUAGUUGAACUUUAAA
Molecule: long non-coding RNA, 2819 nt
Organism: Malus domestica (apple)
Lineage: Eukaryota; Viridiplantae; Streptophyta; Magnoliopsida; Rosales; Rosaceae
Source: RefSeq, a predicted model, not a curated record